Molecule: long non-coding RNA, 617 nt
Organism: Rosa chinensis
Lineage: Eukaryota; Viridiplantae; Streptophyta; Magnoliopsida; Rosales; Rosaceae
Exons: 2
Source: RefSeq, a predicted model, not a curated record
CUUCUACUGCCUCUUUUGCCUUGUACCUUAAAGAUUGACCUUUAUUCACUCACCCAAAGGUCAAAAAUCUGCACUUUUGCAAUAGUUUCAGAGAGAUUGCUGUGAAACCCACUGCCCAAGAAUUUAAAUUUCUUGUUUACUUGCAGCUAUCUCCAGUGGCUGGAAUUGCUGAUUAUAGAGUUGGUGUUAGCAUUUCAAUUUGGUUUUGCCGUUUGUAGCAGUUGAUUGGCUUUAUUACCUGCUGAAAUCUAAGGCUUGAGGUAGGGAAAGCAAAAUUUUCUUUAUAGCCUUGAUUCUACUUUGGUGUGUAUUUAGUGUGAUUGUUGAGAUGCUUUCUCUAUAUUUUUGUACGAAGUGUUCAUAUACGAAUGAACAAUGAUUUGUCAAGUUUGAGUUUUGAUCAAACUCUUAUUGGUAAAAGUGGUUGCCUUUGGAAUAUCGGUUUCGUUCCUAAUCUGCAAAUUUGAAUUGGUUGUCAGCCAACUAUAAACAUGGUUGACGUUCAAAUACUCAAUUUCAUUGUUGUGAUUUUACUUUGACAUUCCUUUUACCCAGAUCUUUAAAAUAUGCAGCUGAACUAUAUCUUUAUUUUGUCCUUUUCACACAGUUUUACAGCA